UUUUCAAUUUAUAUUCACAUUUCUAACUUCUGAGGGAUCCUCAGGGUAAUUCUCCAAGUAAUGACAAAAGGAAAGAAAAAUAGGAUACACACAGGAAUUACAAGUGCUGAGUCUACAGAGUGAAUAUAUGUGAAUCGAGAAGUAUUUAACGGUAUCAGCUGACCCAGUCUAUUGUCUUUACUUUCUCAUAUACCUCAUUUAUCUAUGAAAUGUUUUCAGAGGGAGAGACUUUUUAGUCAUUCUCAGGAUUUAGGUUUCAGAUGCAUGAAUGUGGACAGACAAAUGAUCAGAAACUAUUUUCCAGGACUUCCAUACAGAUUUGAAACAAAACAAAAAUGGAAUUUAUUUUAAAGUAUCUUUUUUUUUAUUUUUUAAAUAUCUAAUGAGCACGAUUUAUGGUCGAAGCAUACAUAUGAAUAAACUUUGUGACAGGAGCAAUUUAGCAUUUCAGAUUGCCAUUCAUUGAACUCACAACCGUUUAAUAAGUACAUGUUCUUAAAAGUCAGGGUAGUUUUUAGAGCGCCUUUUUGUUCCAUUAUACCUUAUGCAUUUCACCUAGUAAUGUACUGAUUAUUAUACCUUAAAAAUCAAAUCAAAGCAAAUUACAAAUGCCAACUAUAGAUUGUGACAAUUUAUUAGAUUCAUCGUACAUUCCAUUUUAAAGAAAUAUUAACAAUAUUUUCAUAUUCUUUUCUUUCUAAUGAAAGAAUAUUAUGUUAGCAAAAUUAUAACACCUUGGCUUCUUGGCCUAUCAAUUUUGAGUGUUUCCUAUAACAUCAGUGUUUUGUUUCUAAGUUAUUUUACUGCAGCAGGCAGGACAUCUAACUGAAUACAUUGCUUUUCUGAAACAGCCUGGACUCUAAUUCUCUAGCAGUCCUGUUACAUUACCAUCUUUCAGGAGGCCUGUCACUAAGUCAUGGCAGUAGGAAAGAGGAGCCGGAAAGGAACAUUGAUGAGGGCAGUUGCAUUUGGUGAUUUCCCAAGAGGAGACGAACACCAAUCUACUGAAGGACUUUGGCUGCCAGCAGCUGUUCUUGACAAUCUGAACAUCUGGUUUUGUAAACUACUUGUAACAAAAACUUCACAAGCUGAGAUUCAUCCUCAAGGGCACAACUGGCAUUUAAAGAACUUUUAGUAAAAACUUAUUUUAAGGUCAAAGAAUAAAGCAGAAUCAAAAGAUAUGUUGACUCUUUGCCUGGAGGAAAAUAAGAAGUAGAUUUAACUUUUCUACAUAUGAUGGUAAUUAUUUUAAUUGUGACACCUACAUUUCCCAAAUUAGAUUCCAUACAGCAGUAGUUAUGUGAUAUGACCAAUAUGGAAAAUGUUUUGUUCCACUAACAAAUAUUUUUAUAUUAGCUAGGUAUUGUGGUGUACUUCUGUGGCCCAGCUACUUGGGAGGCUGAGGCAGAAGAUCACUGGAUCCCAGGAGGUUGAGGCUGCAGUGAACUGUGAUUGUAUGUGAUUGCACCAUUACAUUCCAGCCUGAGCAAAAGGACAAUGCCCUGUCUCUGAAAAAAAAUAAAAAUAAACUAACAAAAAACAAAUUAGGAAAAGAAAAAUAUUUUAUGUCGCAAUUCUCCUCUAGGAGUGUCAAAAUAGCCAUUAAUACAGUAAAGUCACUGAGACUUUUUUCAUUUUUGUUUAGCUGGAUUUAAAAGUAUGUUCACUCUUAUAACUUGCUGUGGAGAAAUUGUUUUGACAAUGAAACUAUUUUCUCGCCUUGAUAUCUAUUGUAUUAGUUUUCUGGGCUGUAACAAAAUACCACAAAAUAGUGGCUUUGAACAACAGAAGUAUAUUGUCUCACGGUUCUGAAGCCUAGAAAUCUGAAAUCAAGGUAUGGACUGGGCCAUGCUCCUUCUGAAACUUGUAGAGAAAGGAUCCAUCCUUGCCUCUUCCUGCUUUUGGUAGUCCAGAUGUUCCUUGGUCUGUGGCAGCAUAAUUCCAAUGUUUGUCUCUUUUUUCCUAUGUGUUCGAAUUCCUUUUUUAAAAAAAAUGACAUCAGUUGUGUUAGAUAAUGGCUCAUCCUAAUGCCCUCAUUUUUGCCUGAUUAUAUUGAUGAAUAACUUAUUUCCAUACAAAGUCAUAUUCUGGGUUACCAGGGUAUAGGGCUUUAAGAGGUAUAUUUUUGUGUGGGGCACAAUUAAACUUGUAAUGUCUGUUAACAUGUUCUCUGAGGAACAUAAUUUGGUUUAUACUAUGCUACAUAAUCACUCCUCUUAUCUAUUGCAGUGGAAAGGUGGGUGUUGUAUGUGUGAUUUUUGAAUUGUGCAAAACAUACAAAAACUUCAGAGCUAAAGAAAAAUACGUAAAGUUAACAGGUAUUCCAUAACCAUAAUUUAUGUAAUCUAUCCCUAUUAAUGAGUACUAAACUGCCAAUAGCAUUAAUAAAAAUGACUCCAAAUUCAUAAUCUGCUGACAAUUGUUGAGUAAUGUCAUUGUAAAAUGUUAAAAAGUAUAUAUCUUAAUACUAUUACUGCAAAGAUAAAGUUGAGAAUGUCAACCAUAACACUUGAGAAUGUACAUCAUACAUGCUUUUAGUUUAUCUGGAAUCAAAGCCUCUAUUUAUUUAUUUAUAGGAGAAUUUAAAAUAUAAUAUUCAUCUAAUUUCUGCUUUAUAUUUCAAGUUAGUUAAAACCAAUUAUUUAGGGGCCAUCUUAAAUACACUAAUUUACACAUAUAUUUAUCACUCUAAAUAUAUUCUUCAAGUUAAUCAGUUAAUCAACACCAACCUGAAACAGUGGAAAUAUUGUGAAUUUAUUUUGGUAUUAGCUACAAGACACAUGCAUAUAUAUUUAUGUAAAAGUAUAUAUUUUUGUUCCAAAGUAAAUAUGUGAAAUCAAAACACAUUGCAUUUAACACCCUACUGAUAAUCUGGAG
Molecule: long non-coding RNA, 2877 nt
Organism: Aotus nancymaae (Ma's night monkey)
Lineage: Eukaryota; Metazoa; Chordata; Mammalia; Primates; Aotidae
Source: Ensembl